AUGGAUCCAAUACAUUUACUGAGCUCAAGAACCAUGUUUUAAAUAUUAUUUUGUAAACUUUUUGUGGUGAUAUGAGUAUGUACAUGUUGAUGAUUGUUGUUUAAGUUUCAAUGUGAUGUCUAAAGGUGUUCUCAUGGAAUAUAUAUGUUUGUUAAUUGAAAACCAUGAACUUUAGGUGGUUUAAUAUGGUGCAAGUAUGAAACCUGCCUAUGCCUUAAAGAAUGCAUGUAAGUUGUUUGAUAAAAUGCUUAGGA
RNAcentral lists this long non-coding RNA (254 nucleotides) under Capsicum annuum. RNAcentral describes it as "long non-coding RNA (CANN_LNC011217)". The record is from RNAcentral. Lineage: Eukaryota; Viridiplantae; Streptophyta; Magnoliopsida; Solanales; Solanaceae.